RNAcentral lists this ribosomal RNA (253 nucleotides) under Turicibacter sanguinis. RNAcentral's name for it is "partial 16S ribosomal RNA". It matches the Rfam family "Bacterial small subunit ribosomal RNA", at positions 524 to 776 of the family's 1533-position model. Lineage: Bacteria; Bacillati; Bacillota; Erysipelotrichia; Erysipelotrichales; Turicibacteraceae. The record is from RNAcentral.
UACGUAGGUGGCGAGCGUUAUCCAGAAUUAUUGGGCGUAAAGAGCGCGCAGGUGGUUGAUUAAGUCUGAUGUGAAAGCCCACGGCUUAACCGUGGAGGGUCAUUGGAAACUGGUCAACUUGAGUGCAGAAGAGGGAAGUGGAAUUCCAUGUGUAGCGGUGAAAUGCGUAGAGAUAUGGAGGAACACCAGUGGCGAAGGCGGCUUCCUGGUCUGUAACUGACACUGAGGCGCGAAAGCGUGGGGAGCAAACAGG